Long non-coding RNA from Mus musculus (house mouse), 2439 nucleotides. RefSeq annotates it as predicted gene, 54225. Lineage: Eukaryota; Metazoa; Chordata; Mammalia; Rodentia; Muridae. The record is from RefSeq and is a predicted model, not a curated record. The transcript is spliced from 2 exons.
GGAAGUUGUAGUUCCAGACCCUAGCAAGUCUUGACUCGUCCUCUCCUUCCAUUUCAUUGACUCUUAACAGACCACAGACUCUGAGACCGCUUCAGAUUACGCAUUGAUCAUUUCAAGGUAUAAGAUGAGAGGAAUUUUCUUUAAUCACCGGAUCUGGGCGCUGCUGCUGCUGCUGCUUAGAAAGUAUCUGGAAGGCGCGCAUGCGCGUGAAGACUGGGAGAGGUGAGAGAGAAGAAGAAGAAGAAGGAGGAGGAGGAGGAGGAGGAAGAAGAGGAAGAGGAAGAGGAAGAAGGAGAAGGAGAAGGAGAAGGAGAAGGAGAAGGAGAAGGAGAAGGAGAAGGAGAAGGAGAAGGAGAAGGAGAAGGAGAAGGAGAAGAAGAAGAAGAAGAAGAAGAAGAAGAAGAAGAAGAAGAAGAAGAAGAAGAAGAAGAAGAAGAAGAACCAGAAUAGUACUCUUCAAUUUAAAGGAGAUUUCAAGCUUAAGAUAAAGAUUUCCUACUUAAGGCAGGAAAUGACUGAGUGCUUAGUCAAUUGCUAAAAACACGAAAACUAGCAAGGCAAAGAAGCAGUGUGUGGGAUGGGGUGGGAUGGGAAGUUAGUCUACAGAGAGGGGAAAUCUCCACUCUCUAGAAGGGCAAAAGCGUGGCACUUCUUCCACAGCGGUGAAGAGCUGGUCAUGCCCUUCUUUUCUGUGCCACUUAUGGGGUGACCUGGCAUUGUUUCUGCCUCCACAAUGAGUGACCAAGUAGUGCUUGUUUUGCUUAGGGAAGCCAGAGGUUUUGCAGGGUAAUCAAAGUUUGAGAAAGGUUCUCAGAAAAUCUCUUUGGCUCCAGAUCAAGCCACAGUGCCCAGGUCAGCUUCAUCAAUAAGUAAAACUGAGAUGUUGAAUCUUUAUUGGCUUGCCUCUGGCUUUCCUUCUCAGCAAAUUUGAAACUCUGAAAAAGAAAACAGGCUAGUUUUGUGUUUUGUUUUGUUUUGUUUUGUUUUGGUUUGGUUUGGUUUGGUUUGGUUUGGUUUGGUUUUUGCCUCUUCACACCACCCCACACCAGGGAAGAAAGUCUUGAGAUGGGUCAAUCUGGAAGCAGCAUCUAGGCCUAGGGUCACCAAUGAAUGGGAGUCUGUACUGAUUAGGCUUUUUGUCAUCUUGACAUAAACUGAGAUCAUCUGGGAAGAGGGAACCUCAACUGAGAAAAUACAUCAGACUGACUUGUGUGGAAGCCCACUGUGGUUAUUUUCUUGAUUGACGAUGGAGGCGGGUCCAGCCCACUGUGGGAAGAAAGCAGGCUGAAUAAGCCUGAGGAGCAAGCCAGUAUGAAGUAUUCCUCUAAGGUCUCGGCUUUAGUUCCUGCUUCUAGGUUCCUUACUUCCCUCAGUAAUAUAAAAACCAAACAUACCCUUUCUUCUCCGAAGUUACCUUUCAUCCUGGUGUUUAUCACAGCGAUAGAAAGCAAAAUUCAACAGAGCUCCGGGAUGUUUCUGUACCAGGACCCAAAUCAGCCACUGCUGCUUUAGAGGCUUAAAAAUAAAUGUAGUCUCCCAGACUCCAAAAUGUCUGGAUGCCCUAGAACCAGCCACGAAGAGGAGAAGCCCCAACCAGUGGCUAGAGUUUACUGAGCUAGACACAAAAGAGCUUCCAGAACUAACUUCUGACUAGCUGGGUGUGAGCUGGACACCUCUGACUCAUGCUGUUUUCUCUUCCCCGAAUUCCUUCUGUCCAUUGUUUUCACUUACUGGGUGCAAGGAGAGGGUCAUUGUCCCUGAGUUAAAGGCUUUUUAUCUUUGUGAUAAUUCCUAUCCAUCAUUCCAGACUCUGAGACACCUGUGCGGCUGGGGGCCUCUGCUUGUCUUGCCUCCAUGUCUUGGUGUGUUGCGAUGUUGGUUCGCCUGCUCCUCACUGUGGCCUCAGCAUCUUUACAGAUUGUGCUGUCCUCCAGCACGUGUCUACCACCCCUGCUCCUUUCUUCUUCCAGCUCUGCCCAGCUGUGCCGUUCAGCCUGCCUCGAACAGACCUUUCACCUCUUCGUGUUAUCUGACAAGCUCCUACAUCUUUCUUUGUGUGCCCUUCAGAAGCUUUGUUGACCUCAGAAAGAGUUGGUCGCGGCUUUACCCUCCACCUUGUGACUCUGAAAAUGUAACCUUUACCCACCUUGACAUCUAAGACAUUCUAUUGAAAAGUUUGUUUAUUCAAUGAUCCCUGGAACUUGAGCUUCUUCUACAAGAUGUUUUCUCCCUUCUUUCUUUCAUUUAUACCCUUUAACUUGGAACCUAAUUGAUACCCAAGAAACACUGAAUGAAUGGAUUACAUUGUUUGUUCACACAUAUGUCCCUUCUUGCUUCUUUAUUAAGUAAGUCUUUGAGGUUAGGAGCGUGGCUCAUUUGUAUAUAAUUCCUCUCUACUGGUGUAGUACCUGAUAAAGCAAUCGGCAUUCAAGCCCUCUG